GAUGAACGCUGGCGGCGUGCUUAACACAUGCAAGUCGAACGGAAAGGCCCAAGCUUGCUUGGGUGCUCGAGUGGCGAACGGGUGAGUAACACGUGGGUGAUCUGCCCUGCACUUUGGGAUAAGCCUGGGAAACUGGGUCUAAUACCGGAUAGGACCAUCGUUUAGUGUCGGUGGUGGAAAGUUUUUCGGUGUGGGAUGAGCUCGCGGCCUAUCAGCUUGUUGGUGGGGUAAUGGCCUACCAAGGCGUCGACGGGUAGCCGGCCUGAGAGGGUGUACGGCCAAUUGGGGCGUGGGAACGGGCCAGGCCCCCGGGGGGGGAGGGGGGGGGGAAUAGUGGAAAAGGGGGCGCGGGCUGUAAGCGGCGGGCGCCGGGGGGGGAGCGCGCCUUGGGGGUUUAAACCCCUGUAGCCAAGGAAGAAUGCUUUUUGGGCGGGACUGGGAAAAAAAGACCCGGGCAACCACGGGC
RNAcentral lists this ribosomal RNA (466 nucleotides) under uncultured bacterium. RNAcentral's name for it is "partial 16S ribosomal RNA". It matches the Rfam family "Bacterial small subunit ribosomal RNA", at positions 28 to 508 of the family's 1533-position model. The record is from RNAcentral.